AUGAAUGGGAGAGCAGACGAUGACUUCAUGAGGGCCUGGCUGAUUGUGGUAGUUUGUACCUUCAUGUGCCCUACAACGAGCUUACAUGUCAGCGCUCGAUGCUACCCAAUAGUCACCGACCUAGAGAAAGUAAAGAGGCUCAACUUCUGUGCAUUCAUAGUGAAUCAGAUAAAAGCUUCAUUAGGGGGUAGCAACAAGAAGAAGGCUAUAAACUGUUGUGUGCACCAUAUGGUCGUGUUAUAUGUCGAUUCUCUGGUGGUAGACAUCGCAGUACCAGAUUUCCCAGUCCGGGUAGAGGCAUGGGACAACAAAUGUAUAGGGCUAGUCGCAAAGGCAAACAAAACCCCCAAGGAGGAUACGGCAAGCUUAGGAAGAAGAGGAAGAUCGCUGCAAUGGUUAGCUCAUUGUGCUCAGAAUGUUCGGAUAGAAUGGUUAUUUUCAUUGAAGAGGUCGGCAGUCUGGAUAGGGAGGAUGCCAGGGACUCUAGGAGCAAUUCACACAGGACAAAGCAUCGCAGGGCUGCAUGCAUUCCAGGCAUAA
Molecule: ribosomal RNA, 540 nt
Filed under: Triticum aestivum (bread wheat)
Lineage: Eukaryota; Viridiplantae; Streptophyta; Magnoliopsida; Poales; Poaceae
Description: partial small subunit ribosomal RNA
Source: RNAcentral